AAACGCUUGAAGUCAGUCGCGUUGUUCAGGAUUCAGCCUUGCUUUUGCUUGGUGUACUUCCUGUUCGACGGGUCAGCAUCAGUUUUGGCCGGUGGAUAAAGGUUCAGGGAAUGUGGCAUCUUCGGAUGUGUUAUAGCCUU
Molecule: ribosomal RNA, 140 nt
Filed under: Mycena noctilucens
Lineage: Eukaryota; Fungi; Basidiomycota; Agaricomycetes; Agaricales; Mycenaceae
Description: partial large subunit ribosomal RNA
Source: RNAcentral